UGUGAACUCGAAGAGUAGGGCGGGACACGUGGUAUCCUGUCUGAAUAUGGGGGGACCAUCCUCCAAGGCUAAAUACUCCUGACUGACCGAUAGUGAACCAGUACCGUGAGGGAAAGGCGAAAAGAACCCCGGCGAGGGGAGUGAAAAAGAACCUGAAACCGUGUACGUACAAGCAGUGGGAGCACCUUCGGGUGUGACUGCGUACCUUUUGUAUAAUGGGUCAGCGACUUAUAUUCUGUAGCAAGGUUAACCGUAUAGGGGAGCCGCAGGGAAACCGAGUCUUAACUGGGCGUUAAGUUGCAGGGUAUAGACCCGAAACCCGGUGAUCUAGCCAUGGGCAGGUUGAAGGUUGGGUAACACUAACUGGAGGACCGAACCGACUAAUGUUGAAAAAUUAGCGGAUGACUUGUGGCUGGGGGUGAAAGGCCAAUCAAACCGGGAGAUAGCUGGUUCUCCCCGAAAGCUAUUUAGGUAGCGCCUCGUGAAUUCAUCUUCGGGGGUAGAGCACUGUUUCGGCUAGGGGGUCAUCCCGACUUACCAACCCGAUGCAAACUACGAAUACCGAAGAAUGUUAUCACGGGAGACACACGGCGGGUGCUAACGUCCGUCGUGAAGAGGGAAACAACCCAGACCGCCAGCUAAGGUCCCAAAGUCAUGGUUAAGUGGGAAACGAUGUGGGAAGGCACAGACAGCCAGGAUGUUGGCUUAGAAGCAGCCAUCAUUUAAAGAAAGCGUAAUAGCUCACUGGUCGAGUCGGCCUGCGCGGAAGAUGUAACGGGGCUAAACCAUGCACCGAAGCUGCGGCAGCGACACUAUGUGUUGUUGGGUAGGGGAGCGUUCUGUAAGCCUGCGAAGGUGACCUGUGAGGGUUGCUGGAGGUAUCAGAAGUGCGAAUGCUGACAUAAGUAACGAUAAAGCGGGUGAAAAGCCCGCUCGCCGGAAGACCAAGGGUUCCUGUCCAACGUUAAUCGGGGCAGGGUGAGUCGACCCCUAAGGCGAGGCCGAAAGGCGUAGUCGAUGGGAAACAGGUUAAUAUUCCUGUACUUGGUGUUACUGCGAAGGGGGGACGGAGAAGGCUAUGUUAGCCGGGCGACGGUUGUCCCGGUUUAAGCAUGUAGGCUGGUUGUCCAGGCAAAUCCGGAUAAUCAAGGCUGAGGUGUGAUGACGAGGCACUACGGUGCUGAAGUAACAAAUGCCCUGCUUCCAGGAAAAGCCUCUAAGCAUCAGGUAACAUCAAAUCGUACCCCAAACCGACACAGGUGGUCAGGUAGAGAAUACCAAGGCGCUUGAGAGAACUCGGGUGAAGGAACUAGGCAAAAUGGUGCCGUAACUUCGGGAGAAGGCACGCUGGUGUGUAGGUGAAGUCCCUGCGGAUGGAGCUGAGACCAGUCGAAGAUACCAGCUGGCUGCAACUGUUUAUUAAAAACACAGCACUGUGCAAACACGAAAGUGGACGUAUACGGUGUGACGCCUGCCCGGUGCCGGAAGGUUAAUUGAUGGGGUUAUCCGUAAGGAGAAGCUCUUGAUCGAAGCCCCGGUAAACGGCGGCCGUAACUAUAACGGUCCUAAGGUAGCGAAAUUCCUUGUCGGGUAAGUUCCGACCUGCACGAAUGGCGUAAUGAUGGCCAGGCUGUCUCCACCCGAGACUCAGUGAAAUUGAACUCGCUGUGAAGAUGCAGUGUACCCGCGGCAAGACGGAAAGACCCCGUGAACCUUUACUAUAGCUUGACACUGAACAUUGAGCCUUGAUGUGUAGGAUAGGUGGGAGGCUUUGAAGCGUGGACGCCAGUCUGCGUGGAGCCAACCUUGAAAUACCACCCUUUAAUGUUUGAUGUUCUAACGUUGGCCCCU
RNAcentral lists this ribosomal RNA (1851 nucleotides) under Klebsiella pneumoniae. Its description in RNAcentral is "partial 23S ribosomal RNA". It matches the Rfam family "Bacterial large subunit ribosomal RNA", at positions 398 to 2236 of the family's 2925-position model. The record is from RNAcentral. Lineage: Bacteria; Pseudomonadati; Pseudomonadota; Gammaproteobacteria; Enterobacterales; Enterobacteriaceae.